AUUGAACGCUGGCGGCAGGCCUAACACAUGCAAGUCGAGCGGAUGAAGGGAGCUUGCUCCUGGAUUCAGCGGCGGACGGGUGAGUAAUGCCUAGGAAUCUGCCUGGUAGUGGGGGAUAACGUCCGGAAACGGGCGCUAAUACCGCAUACGUCCUGAGGGAGAAAGUGGGGGAUCUUCGGACCUCACGCUAUCAGAUGAGCCUAGGUCGGAUUAGCUAGUUGGUGGGGUAAAGGCCUACCAAGGCGACGAUCCGUAACUGGUCUGAGAGGAUGAUCAGUCACACUGGAACUGAGACACGGUCCAGACUCCUACGGGAGGCAGCAGUGGGGAAUAUUGGACAAUGGGCGAAAGCCUGAUCCAGCCAGGCCGCGUGUGUGAAGAAGGUCUUCGGAUUGUAAAGCACUUUAAGUUGGGAGGAAGGGCAGUAAGUUAAUACCUUGCUGGUUUGACGUUACCAACAGAAUAAGCACCGGCUAACUUCGUG
This 484-nucleotide ribosomal RNA is filed under the name uncultured bacterium. RNAcentral describes it as "partial 16S ribosomal RNA". It matches the Rfam family "Bacterial small subunit ribosomal RNA", at positions 30 to 507 of the family's 1533-position model. The record is from RNAcentral.